AAUUGCCUCCCACGUCGCCCACUUCAUCUUUCUUAACAACCCCGAACCCACCACCGCCACCCAUCUUAUUCUCCAUUGACUCCCUUCUCCUUCUAGGGUUUUUCAUUUUCUUCUCCAACUCGUACUUGAUUUUCUCUUGCACAUACUUUGGCACCCCAUCUUGUUUAGAGUACUCCACACAUUCAUUUACGCAUAUAAAUAGCCUGCCCCCCAGUUCGUCACCCGGGUAAAUCCGGAUGCAGACACAGCUUAUACACACUUGGACCGGACAUUCGGGAUGCGGUUGACCUCUCUUUAUGACUUGCGGACAGGACCUCGGAGGGCCGACAAAGCGUACAAUAAUUUUGUCUCCACAGGACAACUGUCUUCCAACAUAAAUGCUACCUUCCAGCUGUCGUGGGGAUUCGAACUUCCGAUACUCCGUGUGGAACUCUCCUGCUUUACAAAUGGAAAGAAUGUUCACUAAUAGGUAAGGUGGUCAAUGGUUAGAGACGGGAGGAUUAAUCCAUUUGGUUGAAAUAAUAGAUGACACGUUUAUUAGAAAAACUAUUAGUACUGUACGAUAGUAAAUAAUAGAAGAAAUGAACUUUUUUUUUA
This is a long non-coding RNA of Olea europaea var. sylvestris, 597 nucleotides long. RefSeq lists it as uncharacterized. The transcript has 2 exons. The record is from RefSeq and is a predicted model, not a curated record. Lineage: Eukaryota; Viridiplantae; Streptophyta; Magnoliopsida; Lamiales; Oleaceae.